GGGGUUGUGGCUCAGCAGUAGAGCACUCGCCUAGCACAGGCGAGGGCCUGGGUUCGAUCCUCAGCACCACG
Molecule: transfer RNA, 71 nt
Filed under: Marmota monax (woodchuck)
Lineage: Eukaryota; Metazoa; Chordata; Mammalia; Rodentia; Sciuridae
Description: tRNA.Ala
Source: RNAcentral